Molecule: ribosomal RNA, 403 nt
Filed under: uncultured bacterium
Lineage: Bacteria
Description: bacterial SSU rRNA
Rfam family: Bacterial small subunit ribosomal RNA
Source: RNAcentral
UAGGGAAUAUUGCAUAAUGGGCGAAAGCCUGAUGCAGCAACGCCGCGUGUGCGAUGAAGGCCUUCGGGUCGUAAAGCACUUUUUGAGGGGAUGAGGAAGGACAGUACCCUCAGAAUAAGCCUCGGCUAACUACGUGCCAGCAGCCGCGGUAAAACGUAGGAGGCGAGCGUUAUCCGGAUUUACUGGGCGUAAAGCGCGUGCAGGCGGAUUGGAGAGUUGGAUGUGAAAGCUCCCGGCUUAACUGGGAGAGGUCGUUCAAUACUUCCAGUCUUGAGUGCAGUAGAGGGAAGUGGAAUUCCGGGUGUAGUGGUGAAAUGCGUAGAUAUCCGGAGGAACACCAGUGGCGAAAGCGGCUUCCUGGACUGUAACUGACGCUCAGACGCGAAAGCUAGGGUAGCAAACG